Long non-coding RNA from Gastrolobium bilobum, 268 nucleotides. RefSeq lists it as uncharacterized. The transcript has 3 exons. The record is from RefSeq and is a predicted model, not a curated record. Lineage: Eukaryota; Viridiplantae; Streptophyta; Magnoliopsida; Fabales; Fabaceae.
AGUCAAUAUGGGGUUUUGCAGGUAAAUGAAAAUGCCAGAAAACGUCCAUUUGAGUACGUUGACAACAAGUCUUUGUGGAAAAAAAUGAAAACCAAUUCGAAAAGCAAAAACACAUUCUUGGAAUCGAAAUGGCAUCAAGUAAGAGAAGCUUCAGAGAUAAUCCCUCGGCACAAAUUGCACAUGCCUAUCAGGAGAAAUCAGAAGCUUAGCGAUAAAGUUACAACUCUACAAAAGUUGGUUUCACCUUUUGGCAAGACUGACACUGCCU